GGUUAAGCGACUAAGCGUACACGGUGGAUGCCCUGGCAGUCAGAGGCGAUGAAGGGCGUGCUAAUCUGCGAUAAGCGCCGGUAAGGUGAUAUGAACCGUUAUAACCGGCGAUACCCGAAUGGGGAAACCCAGUGUGAUUCGUCACACUAUCAUUAACUGAAUCCAUAGGUUAAUGAGGCGAACCGGGGGAACUGAAACAUCUAAGUACCCCGAGGAAAAGAAAUCAACCGAGAUUCCCCCAGUAGCGGCGAGCGAACGGGGAGGAGCCCAGAGCCUGAAUCAGCAUGUGUGUUAGUGGAAGCGUCUGGAAAGGCGCGCGAUACAGGGUGACAGCCCCGUACACAAAAGCGCAUGUGCUGUGAGCUCGAUGAGUAGGGCGGGACACGUGGUAUCCUGUCUGAAUAUGGGGGGACCAUCCUCCAAGGCUAAAUACUCCUGACUGACCGAUAGUGAACCAGUACCGUGAGGGAAAGGCGAAAAGAACCCCGGCGAGGGGAGUGAAAAAGAACCUGAAACCGUGUACGUACAAGCAGUGGGAGCCCCACCACUAAGCCAGUGGUGAACUCCACAUCCGCAUCCUUUGCUGAGGAUACGGUUAACGGAGCGAAAGCGACGUUCAACCGCAAAACAAGCAGAGGGGGCUUAGUGGUGGGGUGACUGCGUACCUUUUGUAUAAUGGGUCAGCGACUUAUAUUCUGUAGCAAGGUUAACCGAAUAGGGGAGCCGGAGGGAAACCGAGUCUUAAUUGGGCGUUAAGUUGCAGGGUAUAGACCCGAAACCCGGUGAUCUAGCCAUGGGCAGGUUGAAGGUUGGGUAACACUAACUGGAGGACCGAACCGACUAAUGUUGAAAAAUUAGCGGAUGACCUGUGGCUGGGGGUGAAAGGCCAAUCAAACCGGGAGAUAGCUGGUUCUCCCCGAAAGCUAUUUAGGUAGCGCCUCGUGAAUUCAUCUCCGGGGGUAGAGCACUGUUUCGGCUAGGGGGCCAUCCCGGCUUACCAACCCGAUGCAAACUGCGAAUACCGGAGAAUGUUAUCACGGGAGACACACGGCGGGUGCUAACGUCCGUCGUGAAGAGGGAAACAACCCAGACCGCCAGCUAAGGUCCCAAAGUCAUGGUUAAGUGGGAAACGAUGUGGGAAGGCCCAGACAGCCAGGAUGUUGGCUUAGAAGCAGCCAUCAUUUAAAGAAAGCGUAAUAGCUCACUGGUCGAGUCGGCCUGCGCGGAAGAUGUAACGGGGCUAAACCAUGCACCGAAGCUGCGGCAGCGAACGUAUCACUUAAAGCGAUUCAGCGGGUUACGAUUGACGGAGCGAAGCGACGUCAAAGCGUAUACAAAGUCGAGUCGGUUUAAGGAUACGUUCGUUGGGUAGGGGAGCGUUCUGUAAGCCCGUGAAGGUGGCCUGUGAGGGUUGCUGGAGGUAUCAGAAGUGCGAAUGCUGACAUAAGUAACGAUAAAGCGGGUGAAAAGCCCGCUCGCCGGAAGACCAAGGGUUCCUGUCCAACGUUAAUCGGGGCAGGGUGAGUCGACCCCUAAGGCGAGGCCGAAAGGCGUAGUCGAUGGGAAACGGGUUAAUAUUCCCGUACUUGGUGUUACUGCGAAGGGGGGACGGAGAAGGCUAUGUUGGCCGGGCGACGGUUGUCCCGGUUUAAGCGUGUAGGUGUGUGUUCCAGGUAAAUCCGGUUCACUUUAACACUGAGGCGUGACGACGAGGCACUACGGUGCUGAAGCAACAAAUGCCCUGCUUCCAGGAAAAGCCUCUAAGCAUCAGGUAACAUCAAAUCGUACCCCAAACCGACACAGGUGGUCAGGUAGAGAAUACCAAGGCGCUUGAGAGAACUCGGGUGAAGGAACUAGGCAAAAUGGUGCCGUAACUUCGGGAGAAGGCACGCUGACAUGUAGGUGAAGUGAUUUACUCAUGGAGCUGAAGUCAGUCGAAGAUACCAGCUGGCUGCAACUGUUUAUUAAAAACACAGCACUGUGCAAACACGAAAGUGGACGUAUACGGUGUGACGCCUGCCCGGUGCCGGAAGGUUAAUUGAUGGGGUCAGCGCAAGCGAAGCUCCUGAUCGAAGCCCCGGUAAACGGCGGCCGUAACUAUAACGGUCCUAAGGUAGCGAAAUUCCUUGUCGGGUAAGUUCCGACCUGCACGAAUGGCGUAAUGAUGGCCAGGCUGUCUCCACCCGAGACUCAGUGAAAUUGAACUCGCUGUGAAGAUGCAGUGUACCCGCGGCAAGACGGAAAGACCCCGUGAACCUUUACUAUAGCUUGACACUGAACAUUGAGCCUUGAUGUGUAGGAUAGGUGGGAGGCUUUGAAGUGUGGACGCCAGUCUGCAUGGAGCCGACCUUGAAAUACCACCCUUUAAUGUUUGAUGUUCUAACGUGGACCCGUUACCCGGGUUGCGGACAGUGUCUGGUGGGUAGUUUGACUGGGGCGGUCUCCUCCUAAAGAGUAACGGAGGAGCACGAAGGUUGGCUAAUCCUGGUCGGACAUCAGGAGGUUAGUGCAAUGGCAUAAGCCAGCUUGACUGCGAGCGUGACGGCGCGAGCAGGUGCGAAAGCAGGUCAUAGUGAUCCGGUGGUUCUGAAUGGAAGGGCCAUCGCUCAACGGAUAAAAGGUACUCCGGGGAUAACAGGCUGAUACCGCCCAAGAGUUCAUAUCGACGGCGGUGUUUGGCACCUCGAUGUCGGCUCAUCACAUCCUGGGGCUGAAGUAGGUCCCAAGGGUAUGGCUGUUCGCCAUUUAAAGUGGUACGCGAGCUGGGUUUAGAACGUCGUGAGACAGUUCGGUCCCUAUCUGCCGUGGGCGCUGGAGAACUGAGGGGGGCUGCUCCUAGUACGAGAGGACCGGAGUGGACGCAUCACUGGUGUUCGGGUUGUCAUGCCAAUGGCACUGCCCGGUAGCUAAAUGCGGAAGAGAUAAGUGCUGAAAGCAUCUAAGCACGAAACUUGCCCCGAGAUGAGUUCUCCCUGAGACUUAGAGUCUCCUGAAGGAACGUUGAAGACGACGACGUUGAUAGGCCGGGUGUGUAAGCGCAGCGAUGCGUUGAGCUAACCGGUACUAAUGAACCGUGAGGCUUAACCUU
Molecule: ribosomal RNA, 3088 nt
Filed under: Salmonella enterica subsp. enterica serovar Saintpaul
Lineage: Bacteria; Pseudomonadati; Pseudomonadota; Gammaproteobacteria; Enterobacterales; Enterobacteriaceae
Description: 23S ribosomal RNA
Rfam family: Bacterial large subunit ribosomal RNA
Source: RNAcentral